Alexandromys fortis (reed vole) is the source of this 857-nucleotide long non-coding RNA. RefSeq lists it as uncharacterized. The record is from RefSeq and is a predicted model, not a curated record. Lineage: Eukaryota; Metazoa; Chordata; Mammalia; Rodentia; Cricetidae. The transcript is spliced from 3 exons.
GCUCGAUGCCCGUGGUUGGUUCUCCUGGAGCUCCGCUUUGCUUCCGUUUCUUUCAGCUCAAAAUCUUUGGCAGGAUGUAAAGGCUGUGACUUCCAGCACUUUGCUGAAGAAGAUGGUUGAAACUGGACAGCCUCGCUUUGUUCUCAAUCGCAGUGAGAAAACACUCGGUCUGUCAUCGUCGAGUGUGUUACAAGUGGGAGACCUCCAUAGGGCACUUCUACCGAGCCGGAUGCUGAAGCAAAGAACAAACAAACAAAAGAGGACAGUCAUUUUCAUCAGCGUUUCCAGAACUUGGAGAGGGAGGACGAAAGCAUCUCGUUUCUCACGUUCUUGAGAGGCAGCCCAGAUGUUACGUCAUCCAGUUAUACACACUGAAAACAGAGUCUAGAUCCCGUGAGGGGAACGAUUCAGGGUGCUCGUGAAAGAACUUGGAAGUCUCCGGAGAGGGACCAGAAUCACUCCUCAUCAACUCUUAAUUAUAUUUAUUUUUUAUGUGCAUUUAACUUUCAACCAACUGUGGGAAUAAGCCAACCUUGAAAGACAAACCCCAGCAAGAGCCACGCCAAGGUUCAUCUUUCCUUUCCCAAAGAAUCAUUCAUAAGAGGAAUGACUUAAAUAUAGGAAAAUAUGCUUGAAAUUAGGUGUUUAUGUGUCUGAACAACAAACCUUGCCAUUUCUCCUUGUGAGGGAGAUGGUCUUAGAGAAAGACUAUCUUCCCAGGCCAAGCUUCAGAGUUGCCAGGAGUAUAACUUGAGCCCAGGCAUAGAACUGUUUGCAUGGGACCCAUCACAGAGGUUCAGUUCUUUUAGGCUGGCCAGCAUUUUAAAAUAAAACUGAGCAUCCUCUAGGACAUCAAA